UACGUAGGUGGCAAGCGUUAUCCGGAAUUAUUGGGCGUAAAGAGCGCGCAGGUGGUUGAUUAAGUCUGAUGUGAAAGCCCACGGGCUUAACCGUGGAGGGUCAUUGGAAACUGGUCGACUUGAGUGCAGAAGAGGGAAGUGGAAUUCCAUGUGUAGCGGUGAAAUGCGUAGAGAUAUGGAGGAACACCAGUGGCUAAGGCGGCUUCCUGGUCUGUAACUGACACUGAGGCGCGAAAGCGUGGGGAGCAAACAGGAUUAGAUACCCGGGUA
Molecule: ribosomal RNA, 270 nt
Filed under: uncultured prokaryote
Description: partial 16S ribosomal RNA
Rfam family: Bacterial small subunit ribosomal RNA
Source: RNAcentral